Molecule: long non-coding RNA, 1986 nt
Organism: Scylla paramamosain (green mud crab)
Lineage: Eukaryota; Metazoa; Arthropoda; Malacostraca; Decapoda; Portunidae
Exons: 7
Source: RefSeq, a predicted model, not a curated record
GCCUUGAAACAGAGGAAGAGAGAAUAAGAGGCUAAUUUUGUCCUCUUUAGGCUACAUUAUACAAGUGACUGCAGUACAAACGCAUCUAAAUAAUAUAUCGACAAAACCAUCCAGCACUCAGUGGCCCCAUCGCGCUGGUCAGUAGAGGACCCGUGGCCACCAGACGCAGCGGAACCUUUCUGGGUCGUAACGUGAUGACCCGGGGGACGUAGAUAGCCAGACGACGCGAGGAGGAAAGUGCGGGAGACUGGAACGAAGCGACUGCAGUGUUAUGAAGAAUGAUGCCGCCGAAGUCCCGAGUGGCUUCGAGACAAGGAAGAGAAGCUACGCGACUCACUUCAGCCAGUCAGUCAGUGGUCAGUGGCGUCAGCUUCGUUGUGGUGUACGUGUGAGUCUUCUGUGUUUUCUUGGACGCUUAUUUGGGCUCUAGGUGAACCAAGACUCUCCCAAAGCUUGUCCACAGUGGUCAGCAGCUGUGACACAAGGAGCAGCUGUCUCAGCGACGGGGAGCGGUGGACGGCGGAUGAAUACUUCGGCUCCCGCGCCUUCUUCCGCAUCAUGUCCGACCCGCCGAUCCUGGUGGUGGGUGGCGUGCGUCAGAGGAGUUGAAAAAUGUGAGAGAAGACACAGUAUGUUGAGGGAAGGCAGCUGCACUAGUGACAGCAGCAGCAGAGGCCCACCCACUGCUGCUGCUCCUCUCCUCUUCCCAGCACAGCAGCACACAGGACACAUUUCCAUCAUCUUUAAAUCCCGGACACUUGUGCCUUGGUGAUAAUCUCACAGCAGCAAACCCUACAUUGCUCAGGUUAACUUCCAGCUAGAAUCAUAAUAUCUGGAGUUAUUUUUCCACAAAGAAGGAUUCAAAAUAUCCCCCCCAAAAAAUAAGAUAUUUUUAGAAAUGAAAAUCCACUCGAAUUUUCUGCCUGAAGCUCUCGUUAAAAUGACUCCCUCUUGAAUCUUGUGUCCGACUCCAGCUGUGUCCAAGAGAAUGGAUCUCCAGUUUGUAGUGAGACUUCCGAGCCGCCCAGACCUGUGAAGGCGAGCAGUCUGUCAGAUAAUGAGAGUAGACAACAUAAGCAACAUAAUGAGAGACAAAUCAUAGUCACAAUAAUAGAGAUAAAAUGAAGGCACUCAAGUAUUAAUGAGAAAACAAAACAGAAUAAUAAGCAAAGUAAAAAUAAUGAGACAAUAAGGCCAGUCAACAAAUAAUAGUGAAUUUACUGUAGGAAGGGUCUGCUGUACUACUUAAUGACCAUUCAAGUCUACUUGUCAAAGAUGUGUUUACACUUUGAAGUGUCAUUUUCUUGUACUAUGAUACAUUUUUUACUAUUUUUCUUCCACCUGCCUUAAUUAACAUUGAGUAGAGUCUCACUAAUACAACUUGAAUAUUACUCAGCCGGCAGUCUUUGCCAUGGUGGAGUGUGACACUCUGAAUCAGUACUGACAUUUUAUCAUUUACAUUUCAUUACUUUGAUUACUCAACAAAAUACUGCAUUGUUUUUUGCAACCUGCUGACUGGUGAAGGGACAACGUGUGCUCCUCAACACUUGGUUCUUGCCACGUGCCGCAGCAGACUGACAGCUUCCAGUGGGCCUGUCUGAGGGGCGUGACCUCCGCCGCAUUGCUUCAGCAGCCUUCAAGUCCCGGCAAUGAAACGGUUCGUGUGAGGAAGACUGCUUCUGGUGCUACAGGUGGAAAUUGUUUCUAGUGUCGUGGUGGCAGCACGGGCCUCGGCACUCUCUGGCACCACGGCAGGUGUCAGUGAGGCAGGCAGGUGUUGGUUCAAGUCCUGGCAGUGUCACUUCGCUGCUGUAUUGUUUGGUGCAGCGGAUGAUGCUACGUUUUUCAUCACUUAGUGUAACACAGAGUCUAUUUUUGCUUGACGUUAUUUGUGUUGGUAAGGCAUUUCCACUAUAUAGUGGUAGAUAUUCUGGGAAAUAAGGAAUUAGCAAUACUAAGACAUGCUUGAACAACACUCACCAGUGU